Molecule: ribosomal RNA, 977 nt
Filed under: uncultured bacterium
Lineage: Bacteria
Description: bacterial SSU rRNA
Rfam family: Bacterial small subunit ribosomal RNA
Source: RNAcentral
GAUGAACGCUAGCGGCAGGCUUAACACAUGCAAGUCGAGGGGUAGGAGAAGCUUGCUUUUCUGAGACCGGCGCACGGGUGCGUAACGCGUAUGCAAUCUACCUUUCACAAAGGGAUAGCCCAGAGAAAUUUGGAUUAAUACCUCAUAGUAUUAUAGAAUGGCAUCAUUUUAUAAUUAAAGAUUUAUCGGUGAAAGAUGAGCAUGCGUCCCAUUAGCUAGUUGGUAUGGUAACGGCAUACCAAGGCUACGAUGGGUAGGGGUCCUGAGAGGGAGAUCCCCCACACUGGUACUGAGACACGGACCAGACUCCUACGGGAGGCAGCAGUGAGGAAUAUUGGACAAUGGGCGCAAGCCUGAUCCAGCCAUGCCGCGUGCAGGAUGACGGUCCUAUGGAUUGUAAACUGCUUUUAUACAGGAAGAAACACCUCUACGUGUAGAGACUUGACGGUACUGUAAGAAUAAGGAUCGGCUAACUCCGUGCCAGCAGCCGCGGUAAUACGGAGGAUCCAAGCGUUAUCCGGAAUCAUUGGGUUUAAAGGGUCCGUAGGCGGUCAGAUAAGUCAGUGGUGAAAGCCCAUCGCUCAACGGUGGAACGGCCAUUGAUACUGUCUGACUUGAAUUAUUAGGAAGUAACUAGAAUAUGUAGUGUAGCGGUGAAAUGCUUAGAGAUUACAUGGAAUACCAAUUGCGAAGGCAGGUUACUACUAAUUGAUUGACGCUGAUGGACGAAAGCGUGGGUAGCGAACAGGAUUAGAUACCCUGGUAGUCCACGCCGUAAACGAUGGAUACUAGCUGUUGGGAGCAAUCUCAGUGGCUAAGCGAAAGUGAUAAGUAUCCCACCUGGGGAGUACGAACGCAAGUUUGAAACUCAAAGGAAUUGACGGGGGCCCGCACAAGCGGUGGAGCAUGUGGUUUAAUUCGAUGAUACGCGAGGAACCCUACCAAGGCUUAAAUGUAGUUUGACCGGUUGGAAACAG